AUAAUAAUAAUCGGGCACGGCUUUUGGUUGGACCGCCGCAGAUAUGCGCAGCGUGUGUCAGCUGCCUGAAUAUGUGUCAACCUUCCCAAGACGAUGAUGCAUCUCUAUUUUCUGUAUAUAUACACACACACACACAUACAUACAUACACGAUUAUGCAAAAUUACCGUCCAAUUAGGGUUUUAGGUCAAACGAAUAAAUCUGAAUAAAAUUAGGAAAAACCAGAGAUGGCGAUGAUUAUGAUGGGGUUGAGCGUGCAGUGCGUGUUGGACUUCAUGGUGGCGGGUUUCUCGCUAAUGGUCGGGCUCGGAAUAUUCGCUUUCAUCGCUUCAAUCCUCUGCUCUGCUGCUUUCUUCCAGAACGCCAAGGAGGUGCCUUGAAUUUUGAUUCAUUUUCCUGCGAAAAUGCUGUCCUGGCUAAUAUUACCGUACGUGUUUGGUCUUCGAAAAUGGUUAUCGUUUUCAGAAUUCCAAACACUAAAAUCGUCUGAGUAGGAUAAUAAGUGGUGUACUUCAUUUUGUUGUUGUUUUGAGAUUGUUGACUGUGACAUCUUACCCCUUUUCUUUUACUACAAAUACAUAGGAAUAUCGACUUUCUUGAAUUCGGAUUUAAGUUGAGUAUAUGCUUAAGUCGAUAAUUCUCGACAUUAGUGAGGAUAUAUGAAUUCGAAAAACUUAUUUCGAAAUAGAAUACCAAGUGUAAUCGGGUAGUAAAGAUGGAAGCAACACAAUUAUUGUCGACUUUUUCGGGUAAAUUCGUUAUUCGUAC
Molecule: non-coding RNA, 766 nt
Organism: Erythranthe guttata (spotted monkey flower)
Lineage: Eukaryota; Viridiplantae; Streptophyta; Magnoliopsida; Lamiales; Phrymaceae
Source: RefSeq, a predicted model, not a curated record